RNAcentral lists this ribosomal RNA (518 nucleotides) under uncultured bacterium. RNAcentral's name for it is "bacterial SSU rRNA". It matches the Rfam family "Bacterial small subunit ribosomal RNA", at positions 28 to 526 of the family's 1533-position model. The record is from RNAcentral.
GACGAACGCUGGCGGCGUGCCUAAUACAUGCAAGUCGAGCGGAGCUUUAGGGUGCUUGCACCCUAAAGUUUAGCGGCGGACGGGUGAGUAACACGUAGGCAACCUACCUGUAAGACGGGGAUAACUUCGGGAAACCGGAGCUAAUACCGGAUGAGAUCAUGUGCUGCAUGGCAGAUGAUUGAAAGAUGGCGUAAGCUAUCACUUACAGAUGGGCCUGCGGUGCAUUAGCUAGUUGGUAGGGUAAUGGCCUACCAAGGCAACGAUGCAUAGCCGACCUGAGAGGGUGAUCGGCCACACUGGGACUGAGACACGGCCCAGACUCCUACGGGAGGCAGCAGUAGGGAAUCUUCGGCAAUGGACGAAAGUCUGACCGAGCAACGCCGCGUGAGUGAGGAAGGUUUUCGGAUCGUAAAGCUCUGUUGUUAGAGAAGAACAAGUACCGUUUGAAUAAGGCGGUACCUUGACGGUACCUAACGAGAAAGCCCCGGCUAACUACGUGCCAGCCGCCGCCGUAACAC